GAACACCGGUGGCGAAGGCGGCUUUCUGGACUGUAACUGACACUGAGGCACGAAAGCGUGGGGAGCAAACAGGAUUAGAUACCCUGGUAGUCCACGCCGUAAACGAUGAGCACUAGUUGUUGGGUCCGAACGGAUUCAGUGACGCAGUUAACGCAAUAAGUGCUCCGCCUGGGGAGUACGGUGGCAACACUAAAACUCAAAGGAAUUGACGGGGACCCGCACAAGCAGCGGAGCAUGUGGUUUAAUUCGAAGCAACGCGAAAAACCUUACCAGGGCUUGACAUCCCUCUGACCGGNCCUUAACCGGNCCUUUCUUCGGACAGAGGUGACAGGUGGUGCAUGGUUGUCGUCAGCUCGUGUCGUGAGAUGUUGGGUUAAGUCCCGCAACGAGCGCAACCCUUGUCGUCAGUUACUAACAUUNAGUUGAGGACUCUGACGAGACUGCCGAGGUNAACUCGGAGGAAGGUGGGGAUGACGUCAAAUCAUCAUGCC
This 491-nucleotide ribosomal RNA is filed under the name uncultured bacterium. Its description in RNAcentral is "bacterial SSU rRNA". It matches the Rfam family "Bacterial small subunit ribosomal RNA", at positions 704 to 1199 of the family's 1533-position model. The record is from RNAcentral.